This 406-nucleotide ribosomal RNA is filed under the name uncultured bacterium. RNAcentral's name for it is "partial 16S ribosomal RNA". It matches the Rfam family "Bacterial small subunit ribosomal RNA", at positions 29 to 526 of the family's 1533-position model. The record is from RNAcentral.
AUUGAACGCUGGCGGCAGGCUUAACACAUGCAAGUCGAACGAGUGGCGGACGGGUGAGUAAUGCUUGGGAAUCUGGCUUAUGGAGGGGGAUAACGACGGGAAACUGUCGCUAAUACCGCGUACCAUAGGAUGAGCCCAAGUGGGAUUAGGUAGUUGGUGGGGUAAUGGCCUACCAAGCCGACGAUCGCUAGCUGGUCUGAGAGGAUGACGAGGCCAACCGGGACGGGGGAACGGCCCGGACUCCGACGGGAGGCAGCAGGGGGGAAUCUGCCUCAAUGGACGAAAGUCUGACGGAGCAAAGCCUCGUGAGUGAUGACGGCCUUCGGGUUGUAAAGGUCUGUUAAUCGGGAGACGGUACCGGAAUAGAAAGCCACGGCUAACUACGUGCCAGCAGCCGCGGUAAUAC